Molecule: long non-coding RNA, 30227 nt
Filed under: Citrus x clementina
Lineage: Eukaryota; Viridiplantae; Streptophyta; Magnoliopsida; Sapindales; Rutaceae
Description: Citrus clementina (C. clementina) long non-coding RNA (CCLE_LNC004435)
Source: RNAcentral
AAAAAUCCCAAGUACUUCCUGCUCCUGCAAUAUCAUUGCUGUGUAUUUGUUUUCCCCUUAGACAUAUUCAACUUUGGUUCAGGGUAAAAAAGCUACAGCUUUUCCUGCUAUGUGCAACAAGCUGUCAGAUCAGAGUGAAAUCGAAAACAGGGUAGUGGUUGAUGGCAACCUCAUCACCAGUAGAGGGCCAGGAACUUCUAUGGAGUUUGCACUGGCAAUUGUGGAGAAGUUUUUUGGCCGCAACAAGGCACUUGAGCUUGCAAAGAUAUUGCUUUUCACCCGCACCUAAAAUUUGUACCAGGACCUGACUAAUAUUAAACUAGAGUGUUUAUUUCUGUAUUACUACUGCUUGUAGAGGCGAAAUGGAAACUUGAAUUCAUGUUUGAAUAGGGAUUCACUGUGCGGGUUUGUACAAGAGCUUGUUUAUAAAUAAAUGAGUUCAUAAAGAGUCAUUAUAAGUAUUUGGAAUAAACGUGAGUUGCUGUUUAGUUCUGUUUUUGAUGUUCACAGUCCCAUUGUGAUCCAGAGUAAUAUCUUUACCCUCACUGGGAAUUUUAAUUAUGAAGUUGAACCAAGAAUUUGAUAUAUUAUAUUCCACUUACGAUAUCUAAGAGAGAAUACUGAAGAGAAAGACGCUAAGAGAGAAUAUUGAAAUUAAACACAUACCAUGUCUAGUAUUAAGUCUGUAUGUGUACAAAGUUACAAAUUCGAAGAUUGGAUUUCUAAUUUCAAUUUAUGUUCUGCUCAAAGCAAUGGCUUUAAUUCCUUGAGCACAAGAAGGAACGAGUACGCACAAAGUUAACAGGCGCAGUAAAAAUUACGUUAAUUGGUUGCAGCAGCAUCAUCCAGGAACUUCCCUUUAAUCUUAUUGAGCUUUGCUGCAGCGUCUGUCAUAUUUAUCCUCUUGUCAGGUGACUCCAUACAACAAUCCAAAGCCAAAUCCAUGAUGCUUAAUAAACAAUCCAGUUUGGCAGAAAAAGCUUGCUCUUCUCGCACCAAAUUUGCGUCAACAACUUCACUCAAUCCGUGAGGUAAAGACUCCUUUACCCAUCUCCUUAAACUCAUUUCUCCUGUGAACAUUUCAUCGGUGGGCCUCUUUCUCGUGAAAGUUUCCAUCAAUAAUACACCAUAGCUGUAGACAUCACAUUUAGCUGAAACAAUUCCUUCUGAUCCAUACUCUGCAUUUUUUAAUUUCAAUUAUGAAACAAAUGAUAAAAGAAAUAAUUUUUUGAUAAUUAAGGUAACCCAAACUUCGCUCGUGCUUGAAAAAAGAGCAAAAAUUUUAAUUACAAUUGAAACUUUACCUGGUGCCAUAUAACCAACUGUAGCCAUUGUCAUGGUAUGUGUCACAGAAUCUUCUCCUUCACCAAAGAGUUUGGAAAUGCCAAAGUCGCUCAAAUGUGCCACCAUAUUUUCAUCUAAGAGAAUGUUGGUGGGCUUCAAAUCACAAUGAAUUAUAGGUGCCGACGAAUGACCAUGAUGGAGAUAUUCAAGAGCCGACCCCACAUCUAUCAUUACAUUCAACCUCUGUAGAAUGUCUAAGAAAUAGUUGUGAGAAUACAACCACUUCUCGAGACUACCACUUGGCAUGAACUCAAGUACCAAUGCUUUAAAAUCUGGAUUAGAACAACUGCUAAGGAUCUUUAUGAGAUUUCGAUGACGAACAUUCCGUAAAACUUCACAUUCAGAAUCAAAACUCCUAAAUGCUCUCUCUAGUUGCAGAUUGAAAAUCUUUAUCGCAACAUCAGUUCCGUCGGAAAUGGUUCCUUUAUAAACUGAUCCAAAGCUACCUGUACCCAGCAAGUUACAUUCAUUAAAUUCAUCAGUUGCUCGUUGAAUGUCUAGGUAGGAUGUUCUUCUCCAUGUUGCGAGAGGUAGGAAAUCUUCGUGAUCUGAUUUCCUUGUAGUCCUAUUUCGGCAUCGUAUGUACAUAAUGAUGAUAAUCACUAUAAGUACAGAGGAUAUUAUCGGCGGCAAAAUAUAUUUAAGGACAAUUAGAGCAACUUUCUUGGUGCUUUUGCUGUUACCUUGUUUGCAAGGUGGGACUCGGAGUUUAGGUGGACCACAGAGUGCAUAAUUUCCGAAAAACGAUUGAGCUAAGAAGUUUUUAAAAGACCCCCUAACAGGAAUUUCUCCUUCUAGCCUAUUAUAAGACACAUUAAAUUGUUUGAGAUGUGACAAUUUCUCCAAUGACUUGGGAAUUUUUCUAGAGAGCUUGUUGCCGGAGAGAUCUAAGGACUCUAAGCUUAUCAAACUGCCAACUGAUUCAGGAAUAGGUCCCUGAAAUUGAUUACGAGCCAAGGAUAGAGUUUCUAGAUCUAUGAGGGCACCAAUGGUUGAUGGAAUAUCACCUGAUAAUUGAUUCCUUGAUAAAUCUAAAACUGUCAAGACCUUUAACUUUUGUACAUUGGUAGGGAGAGGACCAUUUAAUGAAUUUGACGACAAGUUUAUCUCUAAGAUGUACUCAAGGCUCCACAAGGAUGACGGUAUACUAGAAGUGAGCUUGUUGGAGCCUAAGUGGAGUUCUCUUAGAGAUGUCAAACUCGCCAAGCAUGGCGGUAUAUGUCCAGAGAGCUUAUUUCCAUUUAACCUUAUUCCGUAUAUCAACUCCAAGUGGCAAAGAUCAUAGGGAAUGGAUCCUUCCAAAUUAUUUUCUUCAAGAGAAAAACCUUGUAGCCGCUUAAGUCUUCCCAUCGUUGGUGAAAUAGUUCCAUUCAAGUCAUUGAAGCCGAGGCUUAAGAGGAUCAGGCCACGCAACUUACCAAUUUCUUGAGGAAUGUUGCCCUUGAGUUUGCACUCGUAUGCAUAGAAUUUUUUAAGAGAAGCUGAGAAAUUUCCAAUUACUGGUGGAAGGAUGCCCCCUAAUGGAUUAGAACCGAAGGCUAAAAAUGUUAAAUUUCUGCAAUUAGUCAGAGAAGAGAGAAAACUCCACUGAUCUGCUGAAGAUGAUUCUGUCGUCAAGUUAUUAUAUGCUAAGCUGAGCACGUCGAGGUGUCUCAAGUUGCCAAAUGUAUUUGGAAUAUGGCCCGAGAAUGAGUUGUAGCCCAAGUCUAGGGCAACGAGUUUAGUAGCAUUGGUGAUAGAGUGGGGAAUUAUCCCUAUAAGAUUAUUGGCCGACAAGGCUAAAUACUCUAUGUUCGGAAGCGAGUGGCCAAUCGUUGACGGUAAGCGGCCUGAGAGUUGAUUGCCCCCCAGAGUAAGGACUCUCAUGGUUGAAAUGUUGAAGAUCGUGGGUGGAAUGAGGCCACUUAAAUUGUUGUCAGCAAAAACAAGAACCUCCAGAUUUUCCAGAUUGCCAAUCUCGGUUGGAAUUUGACCUGCCAUCAGGCCAACAUUGAGAAGUCAUUGAGCCAAUAAUGUUCUUUAAAAUAUUUCAUAGAUAAUUCUGCAAAAUAUGCAUGCAAAUGGAAAAAUAUGCUUCAAUUACAAGAGGAGGUGGAGCGUACCUCGAAGAUUGCUGAAUCCAAGAUCCAGAUUCACGAGUUUACUCAAAUUUCCUAUCCUUGAAGGAAUAUUUCCACCAAUAAUAUUGAACUCUGCACGCAGCAUCUCUAGCCUUGAUAAGUUGAAGAGAGAAUUAGGGAUGGGACCUGUGAAACUGUUAUUAGCAAGAUUCAAUAUUCGGAGUUUAGAUAAGACACCAAUCCAUGAUGGAAAGCUUCCGCUGAAUUUAUUGUAAGCCAAACUCACGACUCUGAGUCGACGUAAUUGCCCCAAUUCUUUCGGCAGAUGGCCAUGAAAACUGUUCUCACUAAUGUCAAGAGACACUAGAAAUGAGAGAUUUCCCAAGUGUAGUGGAAUGGUGCCUCCGAGACCCAUAUCUGAAAGAUUCAAGGCAGUGACUCUUUGAUGGCGUGAACCACAAGAGACACCAACCCAGCUACAUGUUGGAUAAGAUAUAGACCAAUUAUUUGCCAGGGCACUCCGAUAAUCAAAAACAUGGGCUUUGAAUGCUAGAAGAGCUGAUUGAUCUGUUGUUAAAUCGUUUAAAGUCGUCACCGCUAAGCUAGCAAUGAGAUACUGUAACACUAACACCGACAUAGGAACAAAGAAGAAUGAUAAGCGCAUAUUGGUCGUUUUUAGUAGUAGUUGCAAGGCGAGAUUGAUACAAGUUUUAAGUAAAGGAAAUUAGCAUAUACUUAUAAUGAGACAUAUGAAUUUGAAAAUAAGAGCUGAAAAAAUAUACAGGAGACUUGCAAAUUGUUAUAUUCUGUCAUUGAGCGAGCCGUCCAAGUAAACGCAUUUACACUUGAACCCUAAAUAAAGGCCUUAUGGCACUUUAAUUGCCAAAAGGAAGAAGAUGCUCAACAUUGCCAAAAGUGUUUUUCUUGAAGUCUCAUCUUCCGUAAUGUUUGUCAAAACGAGGUUUUACCAUCUGUAAUGAAAUAUUUACUCUUGAUUUGGACCACGUAAUCAAAACUUGACAAAAGAUUAUGAUCUUAUGUGAUUUUAUGAAUGUGGUCUUAUCUAUUAUAAGUCAGCAAUGAAUUAAUUAAAGCUUGCUGGCAAAUUACAAGCUCAAAAAUAUCUUUUACUUAUUCACAAUCUUAUUUUAUUUUUUUAUAACAUAACAUUAAAAAUUUGUCUAUUAAAUUAAUUUAAUAAUUUUUAAUAAAAAAUCUCAUUGACAACCAAACAACUAAUUAUUUUUUUAUAAAAGCUCUACUUGUUAAAAUUAUGCUGAAAAAAACUCUACUUAAGUAAAUUCUAUUUGAAAAGUUAUACUAAGCAUAACCUUAUUUCUUAUUAGCUUAAUUGCUUCCACUACUCCUACAUUUUUUUAACCAUGUGGAUUCCUUCAAUCUCAUAAUCAAAGGCGCUUUAAGCCAUUUUAUUUCUUUUUUUUUUUUAAUUAUUAUUGGAAAAGUAGCGUAGCUUAUCAAAAAAGGAAAAAAAAAAAAGAAGCCAAAGUGACGAGUGGCUCGUUUUUUAAUUUCAAAGUCAAUGCAAAGUAAAAGUACCAAAAUAAUCAGUUUUUAAAUCCAAAUAAGUGCCAAUAAAGGGAGGUCUUGUUAGGGGUGUUCGCGGAUCGAAUUUUAUGGAUUGGACAUCAAUCCAUAUCCGAUCCACGAUUUUACGGGUUAUAAAUUUUCAAUCCAAUUUAAUCCAUGGAUUUGUAAAAUUCAAUCCAAAUUCAAUUCAAAUUCAAUCUAUAAAUCUGCAGAUCAGAUGCAAAUUUGACCAAAUCCAUAUCCAAUCCACCAUUUUGCGGAUUGGUUUGUGGACUGAAAAUUUUUAAUUCUAUCAAAUCCACGAACUAACUAAAUAAAAAAAUUUAACAUAAAAAUAAUUUUACCACGGAUCAAAUUUAAAAUUAAAUAAGAUUUAAAUAAAUAAAUUGCUUAAAUAAAGCUAGCAAAUACAUUUAAAGUUUCAAAAUAUAACACACCAAAAUGAAAAAAAUAUCAUUCGUUUAGAUCAAGGAAAUUAACUAUUUAGUAAACUAUAUUUGUUUAUUUAAUUAUUUUUCAUUUUAUAUUAUUAUCGGAUAUGAUAUAAUAUAAUGUUAAUGUAACUAUAUUUUAACUUAUUUAUUUACUAGUAAGUACUAAUAACAUAUUUACAAGUUUUAUUUUUAAUUAAAUAAAUACUUUUUAUUUUUUUGCGGAUUUUUGCGGAUUUACAGAAGUAGAUCCAUAUUCAAUCCACUGAUUGCGGAUUAUCAAAUUUUUAAUUCAAUCCAAUCCACCAAUCCACGGAUCAGACAGAUUGAGCGGAUCGAAUUAGAUUAUGAACACCUUUAGGUUUUGGUGUCCAUUGUUGAAAACUUGGAAGUCUAUAUGACCAUUUAACCAAACUAUAGGGGUAUAACUGUCACAAAUUUUUAAAAAUAAAUUUUACCAAACAUUUAAAUGAUUUUUUUUUCACAAUUGAUUAUUAAAUUCUAAGUGUUAGACUACUGUAAGAAUACAAAUAAUUGACAUAGACAUAAUAUUAAAUAAAAUUUACUUAUAUAUUUAUAUACAUGCAUGUAUGUAUGUAUGUAUGUGUGUAUAUAUAUAUAUAUAUGUGUAUGUAUGUAUGUGUGUGUGUGUGUAUAUAUAUAUAUAGUGUUGUUCCAAUCCGGGAUUGGAACAGCACUCUAUUAAUUUUUUUGGUUUGGCUGCACAUGGUGGAGCCCACCAUGUGCAGCCACAGGUGGCCUUUGGAUUUGAAUCUAAAGGCCACCAGCCUCCCUCCCGGACAUCGUUCCAAAUUCCGGAUUGGAACAGCCUUAUAUAUAUAUAUAUAUAUAUAGUUUAUUGUUUGUUUAUAAAAAUUGCUAACUAAAAAAUAUUUAUAUUUUAUCAAUUUUAUUUCUCUUAUUGUUUAUCUCAAUAUAAAUGUAAUAAUAAUAAUCUCUCUGAAUUUAAUUAUUUUUGCUCUUUAUUGAAUAAGGAUAAUUUUGAGUUUCUGUAAUAUAUGUGAGGAUAUAUAUAAAAUUGUAUUAAAUAUAUAACUAUUCUCAAAAUUAAAUUUUGAAAAACUAGUUCUUUCUCACUUUUCAUUUAAUUAGGCAAAUGGCCACAGAAAUUGUUCUCCCUCAUAUCCAAAUAAACUAAAAACGAGAGAUUUCGUAAGUGUGGGGGGAUGAUGGACUAUGGUAUGAGCAUCACAACAUAUGCCAAUUCGACCGCAUAUUGAGUAAGACAUGGACCAAUUAUUCAAGAGAUUCAUGAGCCUUCGAAGUGAGAAAUAGAGCAAAUUAGGUGGUGGUGGGUCAAUUGACUACGUUUCGUGAUCUACGUGCGAUUGCAACAGUCGGUUCAUUAAGUGAAAUUAAUGACUCGUCCACUAUAGUAAGAUACUGUCCUCAUUAGGAUGGUGCUGGGUCAAUUUUAUCCAUGAGUCAACUUACAUUAAUUUGAAUUAAUUUAUAAGAGUAUCUCAUUUUCGUUGAUUACGAGUUGUGAUCGAUGACAUGCACGAAAGCAGUCAAUUUACAGGUCAUUCACUAUAUAUAUGGGGUCUAUGGGUGGGUGGAUCUAACGUAAAUUAAGGGCUGAUGAUGACCCUCGACUUCUAACGACGACCAACGAAGACGACCUUGACUUUACAUGUAAACACACAAUUCGCUCUCAUACAUUAUGUUUUAAAAUUUCUCCAUUUGCCGGGGCCCCGCUGUCGACCGUACACAGUUUAAUUUGUAUAUACAAGACCUCAAUGUUUCUAGCAAGCAUAGAGCCAUAGACCAUAUUAAUUCCAAUUACAUAAAUCUUCAUUUUUAUCAUGAUUUUGGACUUCAAGGAGCGUGGAUAUAUCCAACCAGAUCCGGCUCACUGGCAUUUUAAUAUAUUUUAGAAUUGAGUAAUGAGUAUCAAUAAACGUGUAAUUGUAAAUCUAUAACUUUAAUUUUAAUUUGAGGACUCAAAUGAAUUAAUCAAACAGUAACUCGUUAAAUUAAUAGUCCACAAAUUUUUAACUUUAAUUAAAUAAUAAAUUUUGUCCGUCCCAACUUAAGAUUAACGUGGUAAUUAAUAAUUUGAUAAAUUAUUAGAUAAUAAUUUGAUAAAUUAUUAGAUAAUAAUUUAAAAAAAUCUUAUUUCUUUUAUUGGAUCCAACUGAUAUAUAAAUUAAAAAUUAAUUAAUUUUAAAACUAAGUUCAUAUUAUGUCAAUCAAAUGUUGUUGCAAAGAAGACUAGCAGCGACGCUUUGACAGGUACACCAAAGCCUUUUGCACCUUCUCCUUCGUGACCACCAAUAGAUACUUCCACCAUUUCAACGUCAUGACAUGAUGUAAGUUUCUUUUGUAGAAUUUGCGAAUUGGUAAUCUUUUACACGCGUACAUUUAUAUCAUUGUAUGGUUAUAGAUUCAAUUACUUUUAUGACGCAUUUAUUAAAUUGAAAUUGAAAUAAACAAGAAUGGGCUGUAAUGUGAAUGGAGAAUCAAAAUUAGAAUAAGUUAUUUACUUGAACUGUAGAAAUCGAAAUAAGCUGGAUUGUCAUUAAUGUGUUUAUUUUAUCUUAGAAUCCGAUUUGAAAUAAGUUAGAUUGUAACAAAUUACUAAAAACUACUUAACGAACUAUUAUUAUAAUUAUUAUUUUGUAUUUUAAUUAUUGUGAUUAUUUAUUAAAAAUUAUUAUUAUUAUUAUUAUUAUUAUUAUUAUUAUUACUUAUUGUUAAUAGUAUAUUAAUAAAUUAUAAUAAUAUAUUAAAUAACUAUAAUAUAUUAAAAAAUAUACUUGUAUUUACAUGAAAUGACGGAUAAAAUUUCUAAAAUGGUCUUCCUCCCUAAAACUUUGAAUGCCACAGCCCUAAAAAUUAAUAAGAUUUGGGAAUUAUGUCUUUUUUAAAAUAUUAAAGGGUGUUUAUUUCCUUAAACGUUGGGGGCUAAAAGUCCUAUUCCCAAAAGAGUAGUGUGCUGGCGUUGGAGGCUAGAAGGAAAAUUCGUUACAUUGCUCAAACACUUUUCUACAUCUAAACUAAUCAUUAGGAUUUAUAUUAACUAAUAAACCCUAAUAAUACGAGCGUUCAUAAAACUUCAUAUGAACAUUGAAGUAGCAUGGCAUCAUAUUGUAAUAAGUUGUACAGCUGUCAAUCUCUUAUUAGUCAGAUAUAUUCUGAGUUAGUUACAUGAAUGUAGUAUAAAUAUCAUGCUCUGUACACAUUCUUAGUUAGUUACUUCAGUAGAAUUUUCUCUCCUCUACUCGAUUUUUAAGUUAUCUUUUAUAUUGGGGGCAAAUGAUAUUUUAUUAACGAAAUGAUUUUGCCCUCUUAAUAAGCUCUCAUUUCUCCCCUUUGAUCAACGCAGCCUUCUUUUAUUACAUCAAAAUUCUUCCUCUUUCCAUCAAAAUUUCAUGGAUCUGCCCUUGCGUAUAAUCAUAUGAGAGUAUACAAUAAAAUUAAUUAGGUAUGUGUGGAACAUUUUUGUUAUCCUUAAGCUGAUUUUAUUUUCAUUUUUUUAUAGUAUAUAUUGUCAAAAGUAAAUGCUAUAAACACUUUCGGAAAAAAAGAUGAAGAGCGCCUUUGGAGUAAUUUUUUCUAGAGGAACUAACAAAACAACUAAAUGAUGUAUGUAUCUCUAAGAUUUAUUAUUAUUAUUAUUAUUAUUAUUAUUAUUUCUGUAGUUGACAAAGCAUCAUGAUUGUGUUGGAUGAUAAGAUUAAAGGUGAGAAUGGACCAAUUUUUUAGGAUAAAAAAAAAUGAUUCAAUCUUGGGCAUGUUUGGCUAUCGAAACUAAUUGAUUAGUCUAAAGUUUAAUUCAAAAGUAAUGGGACUAUUAAUCCUUAGGAAAAUUAUCAUUCGUAUACCCUAUAGAUACUCUGUUAUCAAAAAAUACUAUAAUACUUUAAGAGUGUAUCAAUCGUCCACUCAAAGUUGACAAAAUGUAUCUGCCGUCUACCAAACCGUUACUUGACGUUUAAAUAGGAUACUGCUAGAGGGGUAAUUUGAACUUUUUAUAUGAUACAAGUGAUAAUUUAAGAAUAUAUAAGUGAUAAUAAAAUAAUUUAAUGGUAUACAAGGGAUACUUUUCAAGAGUAAAAUCGUCAAUUUGUUAUAAUUCUGUUAACUUUCAAACGACAGCUAACGGUUUGGUGGUUGACAGAUAGUUUUUGUCAAUUUAGGGUGGACGAUUGAUACACUCUCAAAGUGUUUUAGUAUUUUUGAUAACAGAGUAUCUAUAGGGUAUACAAAUAAUAAUAUCCCUAAUCAAUCCUUAAUUCAACUUAGGUUUAAGUAGUAUAUAAAAAAUCUUCUUUAUCACUCUUUUCAUUUUUAUUUAGAUUAAAAUUCAUAUAAAUAAAUAUAAAGAAUUAAUUUCAUAAUUUAUUUAAACUAAAAUUUUAUAUUAUAUUAAAUAUCCAAUUUUUAAUUCAAUAAUUUAUUUAUAUUAGAAUUGUAUACAAUAUUAAAUCCCAAAACUUUAUUUAAUAAUUUAUUUACAAUAAUAUUAAAUAUCAAAUUCAACAAUUAGUAAUAUAAUUUAAAAUAAUUAUACUAUUUUAAUAGUGAUUUAGCUAUAUUAAAUUAAAUUUAAUAUAUCCUUAUCUGAUACUAUACUAAACAAACGAUAGUACCUGAUAUAGUAGAGUCAAUCUAUUAUAAUAUAAUUUAAUCUAAUCUUAUAAAUUGGUUCAAUCUAAUCGUACAUGUCAAAUCAGUAAAUUUUAAAAAGUAAUUUUAUAACAGCUUUAAAAAAGCAUUUUUUCAGUUACGUCUAGAAAACGCGCUUUCUCGGAAAGCACUCGUGAAAUGCACAUUCUCACAAAACACGUGGUCUGUUCAAUUGGGCCACAGCCCAUUAAAACUACAACCAUGAAAGCAAGCAAUGCUCGUUGGGCUUUAGAAAAGUUAUACACGUAGCCCACCACCGGCGCCCUAAUUUGUCUUCACCUCUCAAAAUAUUAUUGAUUGAUGCAUAUGUUUCACAGCAUAGAGUGGCUUACAUUGGAGCUUUUCUGAAAAAGUGAAAAUUUCAUUUAAUUAUUUAUUAUUCACGGAUAAGAAAUUAACUUCUUCUUCUUUUUUCUAAUGCCACAAUCUGGUGAGCUUGCCUAGUGUGUUUUAGUUGGAUAAAAAUUUUUGCAAAUGUUUCUUGGCAAGGAAGCUUAAACAGUUUAACCCGAAUUUAACCUCGAAUGAACGCAAAUUAUCAAACCGAACUAAUCCGAAUUGUGAAUCUGAAUUUCAGUUCGAUUCGGUUUGGUUCGGUUCGCAUUAUCAAUCCGAACGGGUUCAAUGCUCCAAUCCGAUCGGGUUGUAACCCAAACCAAAACCCGAAAACCCGAACCGAAACCGAUUUGCCCACCCGUAAUGUGAACUGAGAAGUACCCAGAUCGUAAAAAGAAAGGUCUUGAUAAUAAUUUUGGCUAAAAAUCUGUUUUUUAACUUUUAUUUUUAUUCUUUUAUGCUGUAUUUUAGUUGUUGAAUAGGUUAUAUAUAGAAGUUCAGUUAAUUUUGUUUUGGAUGAAAAAUCAAUGAAUACUUAUGUGAUUAAUAAGUGAAAUUUUGUUUGCAUCAUGUAGUCAGCUAUAAUGCAUUGGAUGGCUUUUACUCAGCAUGGAAGAAAUGCUCUCCGGCAGAUUACUAAAGAGAGCUCUGAUCGCGUGUUGCAUCACCCAUUGCUAUUUUCUUGUCAAGGACUCAGAUACAGACGAUUGGAAGUGAUUCUAACAACAGUGAGUAAAUUGAUCUUUUGUUUUCCCUUUUCACCAGUUUGGAUCUCUUGACUAAUCAGCCUAUUUGAGUUUUAACUUGUGUAUUAAUGAUUGGUUUUAUAUGUUCAGAAAGUUGAUAAGCUUGGUAAAGCUGGUGAAACUGUGAAGGUUGCUCCAGGGUAUUUCCGCAACCACUUGAUGCCCAAAUUGCUUGCUCUUCCAAAUAUCGAGAAGUUUGCUCAUCUCAUUAGAAAGCAGCGCAGGGUAUUUGUUUUUCAUGAUUUUUCUUGGUUGAACUUUUUUUCUGUUUGGGUUGAGAAUGGUUAAUUCUAGUGAUACAGAAAUUUGCUCAUUUUCUUUAGAUACUUUGUUAGCCAUUUUGUCAAUUAAUUUGACUCAUGGCUUCAAAUUAUUGCUAAAUUCUUGGUUUGGAAAUAUUUAUGAUUUUUGAAGGGGCAUUACAAGUUAUUAAUAUUUGUUGUGCCUGUGACUUAUUUUCAUCAGAUUUGCCAGCCUUAGGAAGAGGAAGAGGUUAAAGUUAUCAGGAAGUCUGAGGAUAAUACGAGUAGAGAAUUUGAGAAGGCAGCUAGGCGCCUAGAGAAUGCUCGACUGGUUUGUGGCCUAUCUUUUAAUUUCUUCAGAUUCGGGACAUAUUGUCUUGGAGUGAACUGAUGUGUUGCCUUUUCUUUUUUUAAGCGUGAAUGAUCUAUUUGCUGCAGUAAGCAGUGAACGUCGUAAUGAAUGUUAAAUUAUGCUGUUUGUUUCGAUUUACUUUUCUAUCUUAGCUCUGUGUGAUUAGUGGAAUGCUGGUCCUGCGAGUAUAAAAAUGAACUCCUUAAGUCAAAUUCCUUCUUGGGGUGUUGGAGAAAGAACUAAAUACAUGUAAUAUUUCUUUUGGAUAUGGAUCAUCUGAUGGAUGUUGUAUUUUCUAGGUAUUGAGGAGAUUCCCUAAUAUUGAAAAAUUACGUUCCCGUGCAUCAAAAGAUGAUCCCCUAGAAUUGCGUUCACCUGUGACAAAAGAGGAGCUUGUAGCUGAGGUAUGGAUUGAAAAAUUUCUGCUAGGGUGUGAUCGUACGGUAGCCAAUUGUGAGCAACAGAUCCACAUGGUAAUAUAGAUUGAAAUUUUGCUAGCGUGUCAUGGUGUCAAGAUUGUCGCUGAUGCUCUCGUGUCUGACUGCAGCGACGCCGUUUUUGAUCUUAUAGCUCUUCCCGUAUGUAUUGCAGCUCACCUCAGCUCAUGCUAAUUUAUGUGAUGUUUGUAUAAUUAUAGAUGAUUAUUGCUGAUACUGAAUGUUAAGCUAAAUAAUUCGUCGUUAAGUCAUCUUCAUUUAAUUUUCGAUUGAAAAUGAAAAAAUAGUAAUUUUGAGCAAAGAAAAAUAUAGAAAAUGUUUUUUUUGUUUUAUUUUAAUUUUUAAUUUUUGGAGAUUUCCUUAUUGUGGGUGUUAUCAUUCAUUAUAUGGCCAUAGUUAAAUAUUUCAAGUUAUUGUAGUCAGUGAAACUCUUUUCGAUAUUUAUUCUGGCAUGUAUAUUUUUCCUUUCAAUUUCUUUUGUUGCUGAUUCUUUGAUUGAUUAUGUUAUAUCCUUUUUUUGUUUCCUUUGUAAGGUGGCAUGCCCGGUGCUACCAAUCUGAAAGAAUAUGAAGUAUUAGAAACCAUUGUGAAGAAGCAGGCUUCAGCUGGGCGUCUUUAUGCUGUUGUCUGUGCUUCACCUGCUGUGGCAUUAGGGUCUUGGGGUCUGUUGAAGGGAUUGAAGGUAAGAAUUAGAUAAGCCUUUUUUAUGUUUUGUGUUCUUUUGGGAAUUGCAUUGAUAUUUGUGUUAUACAUCAGUUUUGCUCUCACCGAUGAUUGUUAAGUUCUAAUUUAUGGGGUUAUUCAUUUUUUGUAGGCUACUUGUUAUCGGUCAUUUAUGGAGCAAUUAGCUCCUGCUUGUGCAGCAACUGUUGAAUCAAGAGUACAGCAGGAUGGUAAAGUUGUUAAGAGUCGUGGACCUGGCACUGCUAUGAUUUAAUUGUCUUGCCAGUGAGUUGGGGUGCUUACUCUUGCUUCAUAGUCUUUACCACAUUAUUGACUUACUAACUACAAUUUAUCCAUGCACAUUGCACAGGGUGGACUUGGUGGCGCUCAAGCAUUUGCGAAGUCAGAGAAAUUGGUGCAUAUGCUAAAGAAGCAAAAGGAAUCAAAUAGACCUUACGGUGCUAUAUGUGCAUCCCCAGCUUUAGUGUUGGAGCCCAAUGGCUUACCCAAGGUACGACCAUUUCUGCUUAAAUUAUUUACUCAGAUUUGGAUCACCUAAUCUGAACUUGAUGAAGGAUUAUGAUGUUGUGUGUUUUUAUGAAUGUGGUCUUAUCUCAUGUAAGUCAGUGAUGAAUUAAUUGAAGUUUGCUGACAAAUUAGAAACUGAAAAACUGCUGCUGCUUCGUUAGUUAUAUUACCCAAAGAGUUAAAAUAAACAUCCCAAAUUUUUUAUCCCAAAUGAUAUGGCAUUUAUUGAGUGAUUGGUAAUUUUUUACAAAAUCCAAAUGAAUUAAUUGUAUUAUCUAACCAACCAAUUGAUGAAUGUCACAUCAUUUGAGAUUUUGGGAUAAAGAAUAUGGGAUUUUUACCCGCAAAAAUCCCAAGUACAUCCUGCUCCUGCAAUAUCAUUGCUGUGUAUUUGUUUUCCCCUUAGACAUACUCUACAUUGGUUCAGGGUAAAAAAGCUACAGCUUUUCCUGCUAUGUGCAACAAGCUGUCAGAUCAGAGUGAAAUCGAAAACAGGGUUGUGGUUGAUGGCAACCUCAUCACCAGUAGAGGGCCAGGAACUUCUAUGGAGUUUGCACUGGCAAUUGUGGAGAAGUUUUUUGGCCGCAACAAGGCACUUGAGCUUGCAAAGAUAAUGCUUUUCACUCGCGCCUAACGUUUGUACGGGGACCUGACUACUAUUAAACUAGUGUGUUUAUUUCUGUAUUGCGACUGCUUGUAGAGAGGGGAAAUGGAAACUUGAAUUCAUGUUUGAAUAUGGAUUCACUGUGUGGGUUUGUACAGCAGUUUGGUUUAUAAAUAAAUGAGUUCAUAGAGUCACUUCAAUUAUUUGGAAUAAACCUGAGUUUAGUUCUGUUAUCAAUGGUCGGAGUCCAAUUGCGAUCGACUCACUGGGAAUUUUAAUUAUGAACUAAAAAAUUGUUAUGUUAUAUUCCACCUUUCAUAUAUAUAUAUAUAUAUCAAAUGUUAACCCGAUUUACAGGAUAAGAAGGAAAAGAAAGACGCUAAGAGAGGAGCAGAGACCCAAAAAGAGUUGACCACUUUGUUGGAACAUAAAUCUCUAGAAUAUUGAAAUAAAAAAACACAUUGCAAAAGUUGCAUUAACUACUUGUAGCAACAUCAUCCAAGAACUUGACUUUAUUCUUCUUGAGCUUCGCUGCAGCAUCUGUCAUAUGCAUUCUCUUGUCAGGUGACUCCAUACAACAGUCCAAUGCCAAAUCCAUGAUGCUUAAUAAACAAUCCAUUUUGGCAGAAAAAGCUUGCUCUUCUCGCACCAAAUUUGCGUCAACAACUUCACUCAAUCCGUGAAGUAAUGACUCCUUUACCCAUCUCCUUAAACUCAUUUCUCCUGUGAACAUUUCAUCGGUGGACCUCUUUCUCGUGAAAGUUUCCAUCAAUAACACACCAUAGCUGUAGACAUCACAUUUGGCUGAAACAAUUCCUUCUAAUCCAUACUCUGCAUUUUUUAAUUUUAAUUAUGAAACAACUGAUAAAACAAAUAAUUUUUUGACAAUUAAGGUAACCCAAACUUUGCUGUGCUUGAAAAAAGAGCAAGAUUUUUAAUUACAAUUGAAACUUUACCUGGUGCCAUAUAACCAAUUGUAGCCAUUGUCAUGGUUUCUGUCACAGAAUCUUCUCCUUCACCUAAGAGUUUGGAAAUGCCGAAGUCGCUCACAUGUGCCACCAUAUUUUCAUCCAAGAGAAUGUUGGUGGGCUUUAAAUCACAAUGAAUUAUAGGUGCCAACGAAUGACCAUGAUGGAGAUAUUCAAGAGCCGACCCCACAUCUAUCAUUAUAUUCAACCUCUGUAGAAUGUCUAAGAAAUAGUUGUGAGAAUACAACCACUUCUCGAGACUACCAUUCGGCAUGAACUCAAGUACCAAUGCUUUGAAAUCUGGAUUAGAACAACUGCUAAGGAUCUUUAUGAGAUUUCGAUGACGAACAUUCCGUAAAACUUCACAUUCAGAAUCAAAACUCCUAAAUGCUCUUUCUAGUUGCAGAUUGAAAAUCUUUACUGCAACAUUAGUCCCGUCGGAAAUGGUUCCUUUAUAAACUGAUCCAAAACUACCUGUACCAAGCAAGUUACAUUCAUUAAAUUCAUCAGUUGCUCGUUGAAUGUCUUGGUACGAUGUUCUUCUCCAUGUUGCAAGAGGUAGGAAAUCUUCGUGAUCUGAUUUUGUUGUACUCCUAUUUCGGCAUCUUAUGUACAUAAUGAUGGUAAUCACUAUAAGUACGGUGGAUACUAUCGGAGGCAAAAUAUAUUUAAGGAUAGUUAGAGCAACUUUCUUGGUUCUUUUGCUGUUAUCUUGCUUGCAAGGUGGGACUCGGAAUUUAGGUGGACCACAGAGUGCAUAAUUUCCGAAAAAUGAUUCAGCUGAGAAGUUUUUAAAAGACCCCUUAACAGGAAUUUCCCCUUCUAGCCUAUUAUGAGACGCAUUAAAUUGUUUGAGAUGUGAAAGUGUCUCCAAUGACUUGGGAAUUUUUCCAGAGAGAUUGUUGCCGGAGAGAUCUAAGGAUUCUAAGCUUAUCAAACUGCCAACUGAUUCAGGAAUAGGUCCUUGAAAUUGAUUACUAGCCAAGGAUAGAGUUUCUAGAUCUACGAGGGCACCAAUGGUUGAUGGAAUAUCACCUGAUAAUUGAUUCCUUAAUAAAUCUAAAACUCUCAAGACCUUUAACUUUUGUACAUUGGAAAGGAGAGGACCAUUAAAUGAAUUUGACGACAAGUUUAUCUCUAAGAUGUACUCAAGGCUCCACAAGGAUGACGGUAUACUAGAAGUGAGCUUGUUGGAGCCUAAGCGGAGUUCUCUUAGAGAUGUCAAACUCGCCAAGCAUGGCAGUAUAUGUCCAGAGAGCUUAUUUCCAUUUAACCUUAUUCCGUACAUCAACGCCAAGUGGCAAAGAUCAUAGGGAAUGGAUCCUUCCAAAUUAUUUUCUUCAAGAGAUAAACCUUGUAGCCGCUUAAGUCUUCCCAUCGUUGGUGAAAUAGUUCCAUUCAAGUCAUUGAAGCCGAGGCUUAAGAGGAUCAGGCCACGCAACUUACCAAUUUCUUGAGGAAUGUUGCCCUUGAGUUUGCACUCGUAUGCAUAGAAUUUUUGAAAAGAAGCAGAGAAAUUCCCAAUUACUGGCGGAAGGAUGCCGCCUAAUGGAUUAGAACCGAAGGAUAAAAAUGUUAAAUUUCUGCAAUUAGUCAAAGAAGAGAGAAAACUCCAUUGAUCUGCUGAAGAUGAUUCUGUCGUCAAGUUAUUCAUCAUAAGGCUGAGCACGCUGAGGUGUCUCAAGUUGCCAAAUGUAUUUGGAAUGUGGCCUGAGAAUGAGUUUACGCCCAAGUCUAGCAUAAUGAGUUUAGUAGCAUUGGUAAUAGAGUUGGGAAUUGUCCCCAUGAGAUUAUUGGCCCACAAGGUUAAAUACCCUAUGUUCCGAAGCGAUUGGCCAAUCGUUGACGGUAAGCGGCCUGAAAGUUGAUUGCUAAGUAGAUUAAGGAAUCUUAUGGUUGAAAUAUUGAAGAUCGUGGGUGGAAUGAGGCCACUUAAAUUAUUCACACCAAGAAUAAGACGCUCCAAAUUUUGCAGAUUGCCAAUCUCGGUUGGAAUUUCACCUGCCAUAAGGCCAACAUUGAGGAGUCAUUGAGGUUUUAGCUUACGGUAAAUUGAGUGUGACAAUGUUACCCUUGAAAAUGUAAAAGGAUCAAAUUAAAUUUAUUACAUAAUAAUUUCAGCCAAUAAUGUUCUUUAAAAUAUUUCAUAGAUAAUUCUGCAAAAUAUGCAUGCAAAUGGAAAAAUAUGCGUCAAUUAUAAGAGGUGGUGGAACGUACCUUGAAGAUUGCUGAAGCUAAGAUCCAGAUUCACGAGUUUACUCAAAUUUCCAAUCCUUGAAGGAAUAUUUCCACCAAUAAUAUUGAACCGUGCACGCAGCAUCUCUAGCCUUGAUAAGUUGAAGAGAGAAUUAGGGAUGGGUGUUGGGAAAAUAUGCUCUUUAAAAGCAUAUGUGUUUAUUUAAUUGUAAUAAACAAUUUUUCUGAUUAAUAAAAUAAAUGAGGUAUUUUAUUCAAAUAUCUUAAUUGCAUUAAUAUUUGUAUUAAAGUCCAUUUAAUCAUAUUAUAUGUAUUUAUGUGAUCACCAUGUGGAUUCACAGAAGACAUAAAUACAAGUUAUCUUAUGAUUAAAUAAAUUUAGUUCGCAGUUGAUAAAUAAAGUUGGACACUUUAUUUAGGUAUAGACUGUAAUAAAUUCAUUGAAUGAUUUGUCUUAAUCAUGUAUGAAUUUAUUAAUGUAGUACGACUACAUUGAACAGGAUCACAUAUGAGAUUUAAUUAACUUUGUAAUAACUGUCAGACUUAUUAAAUCUCAUAGGCGUUGAUUUUACUGUAAUCUUAAUCUUGAGUUAAUUAUGAUUUCAUGAUUGUAAUUGUUAUUCCAUUUGAGUUACCAAUGGGCACGACACAUUCUUGUGGUCAAGAUUACCCGAUAUCUUGGUGGGAGCAAUUAUGAGUAUUGGAGUUAUGGAUUAACAAUAUAGAAUUUGUACAACACAUCUCUUGAUGGGUUUUCGGCACUUGAUCAUAGAAUUCUCUGGCCAGAGUGUGUCAACAUAUUUAGUAUGUUGAAAAUGAUCAUUAGAGAAAACCAGUAAGGAUCAAGGAAUAAGAUGUUAUUAAAUUGAUUGGACAGUUGAGAUAUCAAUUUAAUUAACGAUGUGGUACAAAAGAUUGUGCAGUAAAGAAAUCAAUGUGGCUUGGGACGAAUUAUUAUUCGAGCAUACAAUUAUGGAAGUCAGUUCCAAUCUUUUAGUGGAGUAGAUUUGGAAUUAAAUAAUUGGGCUAGUUUAAUUACAGGCCUAAUUAUUGUAGCUACUAUUGUAUGUUCCCAAAUGAUCCCCGGGUUAGCUCAUUUAAUUGACUGCACCACUACUGGACUAAUAAGUAAGAUAACUAGCGAUUUGGGUCAAAAGCCUAAAUAUAUCAUUUAGUGGGAGGCUCCAUUUAAUUAGCUUUUGUAUAAGGGGCCUUAUGUUAUUUUACAAGGUGGGUCCCCUAUUGAAAAAGUAAAUAAACGUGAGUUUUAUUUAGGGCAUUAUUUGGAGCCUAGGGUUUUCACUAAAGGGAGAUAUAUAAGGCUUAUUUUUCCCUAAAGAAAAGUAGAGAAGCACUUUUUAUACAGAUCAGAGAAAAAGAUUUUUCUCUCCAUUGUUGAGAGAAAAAUUUUCUCGUGCUAGUUGCUUUGGUAGUGAUAAAGGCGCCCGCACGUCAAGUGCAGAUCGAACCUGAGUCAUAACCUGGAAGAUCAUUGGAGACAGUUCGUGAUCUAACAAGCGUGGUGGUGACGGAUCGUGAUCUAACAGGAGUGGUGGUGGCGGAUCGUGAUCUAGGAGCCUAAAUCACUUCAGCGGAAAAAGCCAACUCAGAUUUUCAAGGUACGAUUUCUGAAUUACGUAUUCCUAUAUAUUAUAUGAGAGCGGUCCUUAAAAGGUUUUAUAAAAAUUUUAAAAACCUGAUUUUUCCCCAACAAUGGGACCUGUGAAACUGUUAUUAUCAAGAAUCAAUAUUUGGAGGUUAGAUAAUACACCAAUCCAUGAUGGAAAGCUUCCACUCAAUUUAUUGUAAGCGAAACUCAUGACUCUGAGUCGACGUAAUUGCCCCAGUUCUUUCGGCAGAUGGCCAUGAAAAUUGUUCUCACUAAUGUCAAGAGACACUAGAAAUGAGAGAUUUCCCAAGUGUAGUGGAAUGGUGCCUCCGAGACCCAUAUCUGAAAGAUUCAAGGCAGUGACUCUUUGAUGGCGUGAACCACAAGAGAUACCAACCCAGCUACAUAUUGGAUAAGAUAUAGACCAAUUAUUUGUCAGGACACUUCGAUAAUCAACGACACGGGCUUUGAAUGCAAGAAGAGCCGAUUGAUCGGUUGUUAAGUUGCUCAAAGUCGUCAUAGCUAAGCUAGCUAUGAAAUAUUGUAACAACAACAUAGGAACAAAGAAGAAUGAUAAGCGCAUAUUGGUCUUUUUUUUUUUUUUUUAUAGAUGCAGCAAUCUAAUUGCUAAGUGAAGUUGAUACAAGUUUUAAGUGAAGGUAAUUAGCAUAUACUUAUACAAGAGACGUAUGAAUUUGAAAACAAGAAAAUAAAAAAUGUACAGGAGAGUGGAGACUUGCAAAUUGUUAUAUUCUAUCAUUGAGCGAGUCGUCCGAGUAAACGCAUAUAGAUUUUUAAAUUGUUAUACGCCGCUGUACUCGAACCCUGAAUAAAGGGCUUAUGGCACUUUACUUACCAAAAAGAAGAAGAUGCUCCACAUUGGCAAGGCCUAUGCAUUCUGUCUAUUUGUUCACAUUAUGCCGAGGCUCAUGGCAACCACAAUUGUUCUUUUCCUUUCCUUUAAAAAUAAAAAAAAGACAGACCAUGACAUUUGGGCUAAUAAUUAUCACUAAACAAUUAAUAAUGCAGAGGGUCAGUGCUAAUAUAGCUUUAAAAUAAUUGUUAUUAGUUGUGCCUUGAAAAAAAAGAAAAAAAAUAGAUAGUUGUACCCCCAUAAUUUAAUGAAAUAAUCAUGUAAAUUCCUAAGCUUUUAACAAUAUACACCAAGACCCCCUUCUGUUACUUUUUACUAUUUAUUCGGAUGUCACAUGCUUUUUUUUUAAAUUUUCACAGUGGAUAUCAAAUGCUGAAUUUACUGUUAUUCCCAGAUCAUGUCAUCGCUUACUUCUACACAUAUUGAUUGUUUUCCCAAAGUUUUAAUUGAAUUAAAAUCAUUCUAAUUAACCUAAAAAAAAAGCAUCCAACCAGAUAUAAAUUUUCUAAUUAACCUAAAUCUUCAUUUUUGUCAUGAUUUUGGAUCUCGAACAGGUUGGGUAUAUCCAACUAGACCUGCCCCAUUAGCAUGCCAAUAUAUUCUGGAAUUGGAAGAGUAUCAAGGAUUUAAUGUGUAAUUUUAAAUUUGUAACGUUUAAUUCUAAUUUGAGGAUUCAAAUUGAAAGAAUUAUAAAAAGAGUUGUUUGUUUCUUGAGGAAGUAUUAAGAAAAUUCUAGAAGAGUUGUGAAACUGAAUUCGUUAUUUUCUUAAUCACAGAAUGUUACAAACUAUGGAUAUUUAUACUUACAUUUCUCAACUUUGAUCAGUGUAACUAAUCAAAGAAUUAAUCAGCUAACUUUCAUCACAAUACAUUUUGUGUUUCUAACAAACUGUAACUAACUAAGCUGAGCUGGCAGCUACACUUCUGCAACACUCUAUAUUCUUCUUUAGCUUAAUUAAGCUUUUCCUUCCUCUGUUUCUCCUUGCUUCGUUCUCCAUAAUGAGCUACUCUAACACAAAUGAAUUUAUGCGGAUCUAAAAGGGGACUGAAGAUUGGCAUGCAUACAUACAUAAAUACAUACAUAUAUAUAUAUAUAUAUAGAGAGAGAGAGAGAGAGAGAGAGAGAGAGAGAGAGAGAGAGAGAGAGAGGUUAUAUAACAUUCUUCUUGAUGAAGAUUUUUGUGCCAUACGAAUUAAAGAGAGUAUUGGGUCGAUGGUUACAUUGCUUCAGAGGUGCUUAGUAGAAACUUUGGUGAGGCAUCACAUAAUUUAAAUUACUAGAUUUACCGAGAUAUAUAUGUAUGUAUGUAUAUAUAUUCCACAUUGGAUUUACAAGCAUUUCGAGCAGGAUAAUGAAUUUCAAUUACUCGGAAUUGUAAACAGCGAAGAAAGUGAAAUUGCUAAGAAGAUGAAUAUUGUUGUUUUGUGGUGUAUGCGGACUCGUCCAUGAACAGAGGGAUAGAAAUGUUAUUGCAAAAAAGCAGACUGACUAGCAGUGACGCUUUGAAUAAGUCCACCAAACAUCUCCUCCUCCAGGACCACCAAUAUAUUCUUCCAUCAUUCAACGUCGUGACGUGGGGAUCAGAAUUAAAUUAUAGGAUGCUUGUAAGUUUCCUUUGUGGAACCUGUGAAUUUGUGACGUCAAAAGUCAAUGAUGCAUGUAAAUAUUGAUAAACAUUUACACUAGCCGGCCCGUGUAGAGUCCGUUUGACUCAUAAAUAUUUGUCACUUUCACUCUUUUUCAAAACCCAAAAGCACGCUAAAGCUUAAUCUUUAAAGAAUUUUUGAUUGAGUGCUGACAUUUUGGGCUUAUCUUUAAGUAAUCUUAUACCACGCAUGCAUUUUUGUCAUUGUGUGAUCGUCGUUACUUCUAAAGAUUGUAAUCUUUAAGAAAUAAAUUACUUCUCUUGAGAGUGAAAGCAGGGCAGCUAUUGGCGUAUUGCAAUGCAGCUGCUAUGUAUAGUAGUCAAUUCUUGAAAAGAACUAGUUUUCUUAAAUUGUAAAUGGUCCCCUUUAUGACUGGGAGAUUUUGAACAAAAUGAAUAUGAUGAAUUCUUUCCUUGAAGUCUCAUCUUUCAUAAUGUUUUUGAAAUAAAGAUAUUACCAUCUCUGGCUAAAUGUUUACUCUUGAUUUGGACCACCUAAUCUGAACUUAAUGAAAGAUUAUGAUCUUGCCUGAUUUUAUGGAUGUGGUCUUAUCUCACUAAGUCAGUAAUGAAUUAAUUAAAGUUUACUGUCAAAUUACGAACUCAAAAACUGCUGCUGCUUCAUUAUUCACAAUACCCAAAUUCAGUGCAGAACUUAUUAUAAGCUUUCCGAAAGUUUUACGCUUUCUUUCCCCCAAAUCCCAAGUACUUCUUGUAAUAUCACUCCCCUGUAGAUGUCUUCCCCUAAGACAUGUUUAACUUUGGUUCAGGGUGACAAAGCUAUCGCUUUUCCUGCCGUGUGCAACAAGCUAUUAAAUUAGAGUAUUUAUUUCUGUAUUACUAAUAGUAGUAAGAGAGGCGAAAUGGAAACUUGAAUUCAUGUUUAUACAACAGUUUGUUUAUAAAUAAAUGAGUUGAUAACAAGUCAUUUUAAAUAUUUGCCAAAAAAAACGGUGAAUGAUGUCUAGUUCUAUUUUCAAUGUUCAGAGUCCAAUUUUGAUUACUGGAAAUUUUAAUUAUGAAGUUGAACUAAGAAUUUGUUAUAAUAUAUCAAAAACAGUAAUAACUCGAUUUACAGGGUGAGAAAGAAAAGAAAGACGCUACGAGGGAAGCAGAGAUUCAAAGACUUCGCCACUUUGUUGGAGGAACAAUUUCAUAAAUCUCCAGAAUAUUGACAUAAAACACAUACCAUAUCUAGCGUUAAGUGUAUUUAUGUAUGUCCAAAGAUAAAAAUUCGAAGAUAUAAUUUAUCAUUUCAAUUUAUGUUCUGCCCAAAGCAAUGGCUUUUAUUCCACAAGCACAAACAAGAAAGAGUACGCACAAAGUUAACAAACACACAUAGCAAACGUGACAUCAACUACUUGCAGCAGCAUCAUCCAGAAACUUCACUCUAAUCUUCUUGAGCUUUUCAGCGGCAACUUUCGUAGAUGCCCUCUGUUCUGGUGACUCCAUGCAACAAUCCAAUGCCGAAUGCAUGAUGCUUAAUAAACAAUUCAUUUUAGGAGAAAAAACUUGCUCUUCUCUCACCAAGUUUGCAUCGACAACAUCACUCAAUGCACGAGGUAAUGACUCCCUUACCCAGUCUCUUAAACUUAUUUCUCCGGUAAACAAUUCAUUUGUGGGCUUCUUUCUGGUGAAAGUUUCCAUCAAUAAAACACCAUAACUAUAGACAUCACCUUUGGCCGAAAUCAUUCCUUCUAAUCCAUACUCUCCAUUUUUUGGUUUCGAUAGAUCAAAUGGAUAUGACAUCAUAAAACAAAUGAUAAACAAAUAAUAUAUUUGACAGUCAAGAUGGCCCAAACUUUGACUGUGCUUCGAAAAGAGCGAAAAUUUGAAAUUAUAAUUGAAACCUUACCUGGUGCCAUAUAACCAGUUGUAGCCACUGUCAUGAUUUGGGUCACAGAAUCUUCUCCAUCACCUAAGAGUUCGGAGAUGCCGAACUCACAUGUGCCACCAUAUUUUCAUCCAAGAGAAUGUUGCGAGGCUUCAAAUCACAAUGAAUUACAGGUGUUGAUGAAUGAUCGUGAUGGAGAUAUUCAAGUGCCAGCCGCACAUCUAUCAUUAUAUUCAACCUCUCUAGGAUAUCUAGGAAAUAGUUGUGAGAACACAACCAUUUCUCAAGACUACCAUUGAGCAUGAACUCAAGCACCAGUACUUUAGAAUCUGGAUUGCAACAGCUGCUAGUGAUCUUUGUGAGAUCUUGAUGACGAACAUUCCACAAUACUUCACAUUCAGAAUCAAAACUCCUAAAGGCUCUCUCUAGCUGCAGAUUGAAAACCUUUAUUACAAUAAUAGUCACAUCAUAAAGUGUGCCUUUAUAAACAGAUCCGAAGCUCUCCGUACCUAGCAGGAUACAUUCACUAAAUCCAUCAGUUGCUCGUUGAAUAUCAUGAUAGGAUAGUCUUCUAUAUGUUGUCGAAGAGAACAAAUCUUCUUUAUCUGGAGUUCUUGUUUUCCUAUUUUGAAAUAUUAUGAAGAAUCAUAACAAUUGUUAUUAGUGCAUUGGAUAUAAUCGAAGGCAAAGUAUAUUUCAGGACAAGCAGAGUAGCAUUCUUGGAUCCUUUGCUAUUAUCUUCUUUGCAAGGUGGGACUUGAAGGCCUGGUGGACCACAUAGUGCAUAAUUCUCAAAAAACGAUUGAGCUGAAAUGUUUUUAAAAGGUCCUUUGAUAGGAAUUACCCCUUCUAGCCUAUUGUGAGACACAUUAAGUUGUUUGAGAUAUGAGAGUGCCUCCAUUGACUUUGGAAUUUCUCCAGAGAGAUUGUUGCUAGGGAGAUCCAAAGAUUCCAACCUUAUCAAACUACUAAAUGAUUUAGGGACCAGACCAUAAAAGUGGUUUCUAGCCAAGGAUAAAGUUGCUAGAUCUUUGAGGCCACCAAUACUUACUGGUAUAUCACCUGAUAAUUGAUUUCUUGAUAAAUCAACUCUAUUAAGACCUUUAAGUUUUGUAUAUCUGAAGAUAGAGGACCACUUAGAGAAUUUGUCGACAAGUUUACAUACAAGAUGUACUCAAGAUUCCACAAGGAUGAUGGGAUACUAGAAGUGAGCGUGUUGUAGCUUAAAAAGAGUGUUUUUAAGGAAUUGAAUAUCUAAAAUCUUGUAUGUAAAUAUUAACACUUAGAGAAUUUGUCGACAAGUUUUUAAGGAUUUACUGAUUAAAUAAUUUUUCAAUUUGUUUGCCUGGAGGAAUUGAAUAGUUAACUGAUUAAAGGAUUUCAAGGUGGUUAGGUCUAGCCGAGCAUUGUAAAUAUUAACAGUCAUUAUGAAUGUGUAAUUCCUAUAUGUGAAAUUGAAUUUCCAUGGUAGAAUGGUAAAUUUCUGGUAGGGUGUGAUUGUAUGGUAGACAAUUGUGAGCAACAGAUCCACAUAGUAAUAUAGACUGAAAUUUUGCGUCUUAAUCCAUGAAGAGAUAUAGAUUUUGGCAAAUAUUAUACAAGCACUUGGGGCAGGGGUGGCUUUAGGUAUAGGCGAAUAAGGCAGUUGUCUAAGGCCCCAUAUUUUGUGAAGGCCUCAUUUUUUUUAAAUUACGUAUUUUAGGAAAUCAAAAAGUUUAUUAACAUCUCUCUAAUUUAUUAAUUAUCCUAUAGUUAAGAAUUAUUUUUUAUGAAAAAUUUAUAUUUGAUAACAUUAAGUUAAAGAGAUAUAACUAAUAAUAUUAUUUAAUUAUUAGUAUUUCCAAAAAAAAUUAAAUUAUUAGUCUUUUCAAUUUCCUAAAAAAAAUAAUUAUUUAAUGUUAGAAUCUUUGACUUUUAGUAUUUCUUUUACUUUCUAUUAAAAACUUUGUAAUCUCAAAAAUCAGUAAAUCAAAAAAUUUCUUCCUCUCUUCUCUACAAAGAAAAUUAUUAUAUUCAUUGGUUCAUUUAAAAAAAAAUCAGUUUAUAGAAAUAUAAAGUCCAUUUCUAUUAUCUGAUCAUUAAUUCAUCAUCUCAACUUUUUAUAUUCUAUCAUUCUAAAUAUAUUAUUUGAAAAUAAUAUUAUUCUUAUUUAUUUGUUUGUUUAUUUUGUAAUAGUUUUAAUGGAAUAAAAAUGAUAUCUUCUUAACUUUUUUUAGGUUUUAUUUUUAAAAUUCAAGAAUUAAAAAUGGAAUAAAUUUUGAGCCUUUUUUUAAAAUUUCUUUGAGUAUUGAAAUUGCAAUUUUUUUUUUAAAUUUCUUUGAGUAUUGAAAUUGCAAUUUCUUUUUAAAAUUUCUUUGAGUAUUGAAAUUACAAAAUAAAUAGAGGCCUCAUAAAAAAAUUUCGCCUAAGGUCCCAAACACUCUAAAGCCGGCCUUGACUUGGGGUUACCUUAAAUAUUAUGGACUUGUCAUUGAUCAUUGAUAGAGUUUCUUUUACCUAGUUAUUGAUAUUUCUUUCAAUUUUCUAUUUUACUGAUACCACAAUUUUAGGUGGCAAGACAACUUUCGAUUUCUAUUAAGCCUGAAAACCUGCAUCUACCAUCACCUCUGUCUGCUUUUGGGGAAUACGAGUUUCCUAUGCGCUUACCCAAAAUACGAGGUCCAGUGGACUCUCAAUGUUAAAGUCCACGGCAAAUAAACAAUCGUUUCAUUUGUUUUGUAUCCAAAUUCCAAAUUCCAUUGAAGAUAAUACAGGCAACAUUGUUUGCAACGCCACAGCUAAUUUGCAGUAGGAUGAAACAAUCAGAAUUUUGCCUUUUUCGUGUAUAAAAUUUUAUUUUUUUAAUUGUGAUAUUACAGUUUUGCCCAUCAAGCAUUAUGAAGCUUAAUAUUUAGAUAAAUGUUAGGUUUAAUCUAUAAAUUUUAACUUCAGUGUUUAUUUAAUUUUUAUAUUUUGUAAAAUAUCUCAAGACAGCCCUAUUCUCAAAUAUUGGCUUGAUCCGUAUAUAUUAACAUCAGUGCUUAUUUAGGUUUUAUAUUUUACAAAAUACUUUAAGGCAGUUCUAUUAUCAAAUAUGUUAUGCUCUUGCUUUCAUUUUUUCUUUGUUUUUAUAAUAAUACUCUGAUAACAAAAUUUUUUUACAUUAAUUUUUUAAUCAAUAAAAAAGGUAACUACCAAAUUAACCGAUAAAUUAAUUUGUUUAUUUUUUUAAUCAAUAAAAAAUUUAAUUAAUAUUAAUUAAUAAAUUACUUGGUAGCAAAUUAAAAAAUAAAUAUUAGCAUAAAACAAUUGAUAUUUUUCAUUCUCUUACAACAAUCUUACUAAUUAUUAUUUAUAAAUUAAUUAAUACAAGUUAAUUUAAAGUAAUGUUUAAUAUUCUUGUAACAAUCUUACUAAUAAUUUUUUUUGUAAAAAAUAAUUUAUUAAAUUAAUCCUAAAAGUAAAAUAAUAAUAAUUAAUUUAUAAUUUAUUUUUAAGGUUAAUUUGAUAAAUUCAAAUUUUUUUAAUUAAUAUCUCCAAAAAUAUAGUUGCAACGAUAUUAUUACAAAAGUUAAAAAAAAGUAAAUAUAGGAUUGUAAUAUAACUGUCAGUGAAAAUAAUUUAAAAUAUUUUUUAUAAUUAAACGGACAUUUAAUUAAAAAUAUAAAGAACUAAAUAAACAUGUAUUUUGUAACAUUUCAACCUGCUGGCUAAUGGUCAUACAAUCAUGGUGAGGCCCGGGAUGUCCGGCCCAGCCCAUCAUGUAAAAAGCCAUGUCACCCUUAUUCUUAAGCUGCUACUGCAUUGCCACUUUGCCAGUUGCCACGAAGCUCCCCACAUCACACCGCACUGAUGCCUCUAGAAAACUAACUUAAAAAAAUGGUAUUAAUAAGCGUUCGCCACGUCACUCCUCACUCUCUUCUUCGUCACUUUCCUCUCACUCAACAUUUUCUCCCCAAACAAAUUCCUGCUUUGAAAAAUCGCAUUUUCUCCUUCACAGCAACAGCUACAAUGUCUUCAACUUCCAAAAAGGUAAUUAUUUUAUUUUAUUUUUUGUUUAGUUUCUUUCUGUUGCCUUUUUGUUUCGUUUUUGAAUUUUCCGUGUCGUUUUUUUCCAAGGUUUUGGUGCCUGUUGCGAACGGGAGUGAGCCGAUUGAGGCUUUGAUAACGAUCGAUGUUUUGAGAAGGUCUGGAGCAGACGUCGCGGUUGCGUCUGUGGAGACACAGCUUCGUGUCGACGCGUGUCAUGGUGUCAAGGUUGUCGCUGAUGCUCUGGUGUCUGACUGCCGCGACGCCGUUUUUGAUCUUAUAGCUCUUCCCGUAUGUAUUGCAGCUCGCCUUAGCUCAUGCCAAUUUAUGUGAUGUUUGUAUAAUUAUAGAUGAUUAUUGCUGAUCCUGAAUGUUAAGCUAAAUAAUUCGUCGUUAAGUCAUCUUCAUUUAAUUUUCGAUUGAAAAUGAACUAAUAAUAAUUUUAAGCAAAGAAAAAAAAUGGAAAAUGUUUAUUUUGUUUUAUUUUUAUUUUUUAAUUUUUUGGGAUUUCCUUAUUGUGGCUGUUACCAUUCAUUAUGUGGUCCUAGUUAAAUAUUUCAAGUUGUUGUAGUCAGUGAAAUUCUUUUCGAUAUUUAUUCUGGCAUGUAUGUUUUUCCUUUUCAAUUUCUUUUGUUGCUGAUUUUUUGGUUAUGUUAUAUCCUUUUUUAUUUCCCUUGUAGGGUGGCAUGCCCGGUGCUACCAAUCUGAAAGAAUCUGAAGUAUUAGAAAGCAUUGUGAAGAAGCAGGCUUCAGAUGGGCGUCUUUAUGCUGCUAUCUGUGCUUCACCUGCUGUGGCGUUAGGGUCUUGGGGUCUGUUGAAGGGAUUGAAGGUAAGAAUUAGAUAAACCUUUUUGAUGUUUUGUGGUCUUUUGGGAAUUGCACUGAUAUUUUUGUUAUAGUUCAGUUUUCUUCUGGCUGAUGAUUCUUAAGUUCUAAUUUAUGUAGUUGUUCAUUUUUCGUAGGCUACUUGUUAUCCAUCAUUUAUGGAGCAAUUAGCUCCUGCUUGUGCAGCAACUGUUGAAUCAAGAGUACAGCAGGAUGGUAAAGUUGUUACGAGUCGUGGACCGGGCACUACCAUGGAGUUUGUCGUUGCACUUGUUGAGCAGUUGUAUGGGAAAGAGAAAGCUGAUGAAGUUUCUGGGCCACUGGUAUUAACUUUUAUAGAUAACGUUGUUUAAAAAAAUUAUGAGUUAUAUAAUUUGUGGAAAUCCAUUCUAAUAGAUUCAUUUGGUGUGUCUAGUUGGAAGUUUCAGAGGCUAAUGUAUUCAAGAAAAUAAGUUCAGGGGAAGAGUAUGACUUUUUGCAUUAGUGAUUCAUUAGAUGAAAUUGCAUACCUGCUGGUCCAUCAUAAGGUGGUGAAAACAAUGUUUGAUUUAAUUAAUGGGAUCCUGAAAUAUGCAUUUGUUGAGCUUCAAUGUCUCCACUGAUAAAAUUCUUUUUAAUGUAAGUUCUUUCUCUUGGUAUUUGUAUUUGAAUUUUCUGUUCCUCAUGCUUUCGUCUUUACUGUCACCUUGUGCCUAGGUAAUGCGUGCAAAUCAUGGAGAUGAAUACACUAUUGCUGAGUUCAAUCCAAUUCAGUGGACAUUUGACAAUUCUCCCCAGGUGAGAUUGGACUGUUAGUUUCUUGUAUUUGUUUUUCUUCUUCCAUGUUUUGAGGGAUACCCAUUUGGUAGUAAAUAAAAAUUUGUGAUAUCUUCUAUACAUGUACAUAUACAUCAUUGACUUCACUCAUUUGUGAACAUAUUGGAGGUAGCAGAUAUAUUUUUAUGAUAAAUCCAAAGUUUGAUCAACUACAAAAGAAGUAUGAGCGUUGCUGGACCAGGGGGGAAGGUUGAGGGUGGAUGGGCUGGGGGUGUACGGCGCAUGAACAAAAGGAAAUUAUAGGGGUGAAAGUUCAUGCCAUCCACAAGUUGUAAAAUGGGUACAUAAUAUUUCAAAUUAGAGAUUGUGAGAUCCUUAAAGAUUGCUGACUUGUGCUUAAAAUGGAACUCUUGAUAACUUCAAAUGUUAUAAGUUCUUGGUGAAAUUUUGUGCUUUCUUUUCUUUCAGAUUCUUGUGCCUAUUGCGAAUGGUUCAGAGGAGAUGGAAGCUGUUAUGAUAAUUGAUAUUCUGCGACGAGCUAAAGCAAACGUUGUGGUUGCAUCGGUUGAGGAUAAACUAGAAAUUCUGGCUUCUCGUCAAGUUAAAUUAGUGGCAGAUGUGCUCAUUGAUGAGGCAGCUAAACUUUCGUAUGAUUUAAUUGUCUUGCCAGUAAGUUGUGGUGCUUACUCUUGCUUCAUAGUCUUUACCACAUUAUUGACUAACUAACUACAAUUUAUCUAUACACAUUGCGCAGGGUGGACUUGGUGGCGCUCAAGCAUUUGCGAAGUCAGAGAAAUUGGUGAAUAUGCUAGAGAAGCAAAAGGAAUCAAAUAGACCUUACGGUGCUAUAUGUGCAUCCCCAGCUUUAGUGUUGGAGCCCCAUGGCUUACUCAAGGUACGACAUUUCUGCUUAAAUUAUUUACUCAGAUUUGCAUCACCUAAUCUGAACUUAAUGAAAGAUUAUGAUGUUGUAUGAUUUUAUGAAUGUGUUCUUAUAUCAUGUAAGUCAGCAAUGAAUUAAUUGAAGUUUGCUGACAAAUUAGAAGCUCAAAAACUGCUGCUUCUUCAUUAGUUAAUUACCCAAAGAGUUAAGAUAGGCAUCCCAAAUUUGUUAUCCCAAAUGAUAUGGCAUUUAUUGAGUGAUUGGUAUUAAUUGUAUUAUCUAACCCACCAACAGAUGAAUGCCGCACCAUUUGAGACGAUCUUUUGGGAUAAAAAAUUUGGGAAGUGUAGCAAAUUUUUAUGCUGAUUUUUUUGGCUUCAUUCAUGUAAACUCCCCCCCCCCCCCCCCCCAAAAAAAAAGGAAAAAACCAACAAACACCCAAAAAAAAAAAAUUCUGAAGUACUUCCCGUAAUAUCAUUCCUGUGUAUUUCUUUUCCCCUCAAGACAUAUUUAACUUUGGUUCAGGGUAAAAAAGCUACAGCUUUUCCUGCCAUGUGCAACAAGCUGUCAGAUCAGAGUGAAAUCGAAAACAGGGUUGUGGUUGAUGGCAACCUUAUCACCAGCAGAGGGCCAGGAACUUCUAUGGAGUUUGCACUGGCAAUUGUGGAGAAGUUUUUUGGCCGC